RNAcentral lists this ribosomal RNA (443 nucleotides) under uncultured bacterium. RNAcentral describes it as "SSU rRNA". It matches the Rfam family "Bacterial small subunit ribosomal RNA", at positions 26 to 518 of the family's 1533-position model. The record is from RNAcentral.
AGAGCGAACGCUGGCGGCAGGCCUAACACAUGCAAGUCGAGCGCCGUAGCAAUACGGAGCGGCAGACGGGAGAGUAACACGUGGGAACGUACCCUUUGGUUCGGAACAACCCAGGGAAACUUGGGCUAAUACCGAAUAAGCCCUUACGGGGAAAGAUUUAUCGCCGAAGGAUCGGCCCGCGUCUGAUUAGCUAGUUGGUGGGGUAACGGCCCACCAAGGCGACGAUCAGUAGCUGGUCUGAGAGGAUGAUCAGCCUCAUUGGGACUGAGACACGGCCCAAACUCCUACGGGAGGCAGCAGUGGGGAAUAUUGGACAAUGGGCGCAAGCCUGAUCCAGCCAUGCCGCGUGGGUGAUGAAGGCCCUAGGGUUGUAAAGCCCUUUCGGCGGAGAAGAUAAUGACGGUACCGCAGAAGAGCCCGGCUAACUUCGCGCCAGCAGCCGC